This 263-nucleotide unclassified non-coding RNA is filed under the name plant metagenome. Its description in RNAcentral is "partial contains small subunit ribosomal RNA, internal transcribed spacer 1, and 5.8S ribosomal RNA". The record is from RNAcentral.
UUUCCGUAGGUGAACCUGCGGAAGGAUCAUUAUUGUAUAACCGAGGUGCGAGGGCUGUCGCUGACCCGAAAGGUCGUGCACGCCCGAGUGCCCUCACACACAUCCAUCUCACCCCUAUGUGCACCACCGCGUGGGUCCCCCUUUGGCUUGUUCGGAGGGGGGCUUACGUUUUCACACAAACUUUGUAUGCAGUGUAGAAUGUAUUCCUUGUUUUUGCGAUCACGCAAUCAAAACAACUUUCAACAACGGAUCUCUUGGCUCUC